UUUGACCUGGACUCGGCGGAUCGUAGGAUCAACAGGUCAUCGCCGCGACGGGGAACAGGAAGCCGGUGCGAAUCCGGCACGGUCCCGCCACUGUGACCGGGGAGUGCACCCUUCGACACGCCACUGCGCGCCGCGCGGGAAGGCAGGGGGAGGAGCGUCGAUCCGGGAGUCAGGACACUGGCCCGUCGCGGGCCCGUUCC
This is a non-coding RNA of Streptomyces rubrolavendulae, 200 nucleotides long. The record is from Rfam. NCBI's taxonomy places the organism in Bacteria, Bacillati, Actinomycetota, Actinomycetes, Kitasatosporales, Streptomycetaceae.